AGCGAACGCUGGCGGCAGGCUUAACACAUGCAAGUCGAACGGGCUUCUUCGGAAGUCAGUGGCAGACGGGUGCGUAACACGUGGGAACGUGCCCUUCGGUUCGGAAUAACUCAGGGAAACUUGAGCUAAUACCGGAUACGCCCUUUUGGGGAAAGGUUUACUGCCGAAGGAUCGGCCCGCGUCUGAUUAGCUUGUUGGUGGGGUAACGGCCUACCAAGGCGACGAUCAGUAGCUGGUCUGAGAGGAUGAUCAGCCACACUGGGACUGAGACACGGCCCAGAAUCCUACGGGAGGCAGCAGUGGGGAAUAUUGGACAAUGGGCGCAAGCCUGAUCCAGCCAUGCCGCGUGAGUGAUGAAGGCCUUAGGGUUGUAAAGCUCUUUUGUCCGGGACGAUAAUGACGGUACCGGAAGAAUAAGCCCCGGCUAACUUCGUG
Molecule: ribosomal RNA, 435 nt
Filed under: uncultured bacterium
Lineage: Bacteria
Description: partial 16S ribosomal RNA
Rfam family: Bacterial small subunit ribosomal RNA
Source: RNAcentral